GCCGAAGUGGCGGAACUGGCAGACGCGCUGUCUUGAGGGGGCAGUGGCCUUCGGGCCGUGCGGGUUCGACUCCCGCCCUCGGCA
RNAcentral lists this transfer RNA (84 nucleotides) under Candidatus Latescibacterota bacterium. RNAcentral's name for it is "tRNA-Leu". It matches the Rfam family "tRNA". From Rfam's summary of the family: Transfer RNA (tRNA) molecules are approximately 80 nucleotides in length. Their secondary structure includes four short double-helical elements and three loops (D, anti-codon, and T loops). Further hydrogen bonds mediate the characteristic L-shaped molecular structure. tRNAs have two regions of fundamental functional importance: the anti-codon, which is responsible for specific mRNA codon recognition, and the 3' end, to which the tRNAs corresponding amino acid is attached (by aminoacyl-tRNA synthetases). tRNAs cope with the degeneracy of the genetic code in two manners: having more than one tRNA (with a specific anti-codon) for a particular amino acid; and 'wobble' base-pairing, i.e. permitting non-standard base-pairing at the 3rd anti-codon position. The record is from RNAcentral. Lineage: Bacteria; Pseudomonadati; Candidatus Latescibacterota.